Caenorhabditis elegans is the source of this 222-nucleotide long non-coding RNA. Ensembl annotates it as ncRNA. Its record names the gene linc-50. Lineage: Eukaryota; Metazoa; Nematoda; Chromadorea; Rhabditida; Rhabditidae. The record is from Ensembl.
UGAGAGAGAGAGGGCAGUCUGAGUCAUUGGAAGACGUCGCCAGACAUCUGAUUCUGCUGCAUUUGUGUUUUGUUGAAUCUGAAUUUUUGAUUCUGAAUACAAUAUGAUUUUUGAAGCUCAGACGGAGCACAAUGUGAUCAUUUGAUAUUUUAUGAGAUUUUUUAUUCUGAAUAAAGUUUUGGCACUUUUCAGUAGCUUAUGGAAACUGGGAAAUUGCAAACC